GAUGAACGCUAGCGGGAGGCCUAACACAUGCAAGCCGAGCGGUAGAGUUUCUUCGGAAACUUGAGAGCGGCGCACGGGUGCGUAACACGUGUGCAACCUACCUUUAUCUGGGGGAUAGCCUUUCGAAAGGAAGAUUAAUACCCCAUAAUAUAGUGAUUGGCAUCAAUUAUUAUUGAAAACUCCGGUGGAUAGAGAUGGGCACGCGCAAGAUUAGAUAGUUGGUGAGGUAACGGCUCACCAAGUCAAUGAUCUUUAGGGGUCCUGAGAGGGAGAUCCCCCACACUGGUACUGAGACACGGACCAGACUCCUACGGGAGGCAGCAGUGAGGAAUAUUGGACAAUGGGUGAGAGCCUGAUCCAGCCAUCCCGCGUGAAGGAUGACGGUCCUAUGGAUUGUAAACUUCUUUUGUACAGGGAUAAACCUACCCUCGUGAGGGUAGCUGAAGGUACUGUACGAAUAAGCACCGGCUAACUCCGUG
RNAcentral lists this ribosomal RNA (479 nucleotides) under uncultured bacterium. RNAcentral describes it as "partial 16S ribosomal RNA". It matches the Rfam family "Bacterial small subunit ribosomal RNA", at positions 28 to 507 of the family's 1533-position model. The record is from RNAcentral.